RNAcentral lists this ribosomal RNA (496 nucleotides) under uncultured bacterium. RNAcentral's name for it is "partial 16S ribosomal RNA". It matches the Rfam family "Bacterial small subunit ribosomal RNA", at positions 28 to 507 of the family's 1533-position model. The record is from RNAcentral.
GAUGAACGCUGGCGGCGUGCCUAAUACAUGCAAGUCGAGCGAACAGACGAGGAGCUUGCUCCUUUGACGUUAGCGGCGGACGGGUGAGUAACACGUAGGUAACCUACCUAUAAGACUGGGAUAACUUCGGGAAACCGGAGCUAAUACCGGAUAAUAUUUCGAACCGCAUGGUUCGAUAGUGAAAGAUGGCUUUGCUAUCACUUAUAGAUGGACCUGCGCCGUAUUAGCUAGUUGGUAAGGUAACGGCUUACCAAGGCAACGAUACGUAGCCGACCUGAGAGGGUGAUCGGCCACACUGGAACUGAGACACGGUCCAGACUCCUACGGGAGGCAGCAGUAGGGAAUCUUCCGCAAUGGGCGAAAGCCUGACGGAGCAACGCCGCGUGAGUGAUGAAGGUCUCGGAUCGUAAAACUCUGUUAUUAGGGAAGAACAAACGUGUAAGUAACUGUGCACGUCUUGACGGUACCUAAUCAGAAAGCCACGGCUAACUACGUG